GACGAAACACUGGAACUCUCCAGAAUAAAUUGGUACCUGGGUCUCUUCUGAAGUGAGCUGCUCUUAGGAGCUUCAAAUGAGGGUCUUUGAAGCCACAUGAAAAUUGAUGAGUGGUUGUAACAUCCAAGCUACCAAAUCAGACACACUUGUAAUUGUUCCCAAUAGUUUCUUAGCAGGCAUUUUGGAGGAAAAGAUUUGGAUCAGAAAUUCAGAAAUUACCUGGGCUCACAAAUAUAUGCCCCUCCAGCACCAUCCUGCAUUCUGCUUCCAAGAUACAUGAGCUUUCUGAAGAGCUGGUGAGAAUGCUGAAACUUCCUGGCCUUGGUUUCCCAUCUGGUAAAAUGAGGAAGACCAAAGCUUAACUCUCACAAGGAAUAUGCAGAUGAGGAAACCGAAGCUCUUGGGGUAACACGACUUGUGAAACUGCAUGCUACUCCUCAGUGGCAGGGUGGGGACUCUGGACAGAGGAACUGGCAAGGUCUUCUAGACCUUUGACGUGCAUAAACUGGCAGGUUUACAGAAUAACGAGGAAAACAAAGUGAAACAAAAGACUGUACCCGUGUGCUAAGAAUUUAUUACCCGCACAUCAAAAAACUUAUCCAUCACGAUCAAGCUGGCUUCAUCCCUGGGAUGCAAAGCUGGCUCAGCAUAUGCAAAUCAAUAAACAUAAUCCGUCACAUAAACAGAACCAAAGACAAAAACCACAUGGUUAUCUCAGUAGAUGCAGAAAAGGCCUUUGAUAAAAUUCAACAUCCCUUCAUGUUAAAAACUCAAUAAACUAGAUAUUGAUGGAACAUAUCUCAAAAUAAAAGAGCUGUUUAUGACAAACCCACAGCCAAUAUCAUAUUGAAUGGGCAAAAGCUGGAAGCAUUCCCUUUGAAUACUAGUACAAGGUAAGGAUGCCCUCUUCUCACCACUCUAUUCAACAUAGUAUUGAAGUUUUGGCCAGGGCAAUCGGGCAAGAGAAAGACAAAAAGCAUAUUCUAAUAGGAAGAGAGAGAGUCAAAUUGUCUCUAUUUGCAGACAACAUGAUUGUAUAUUUAGAAAACCCCAUCAUCUCACCCCAAAAACUCCUUAAGCUGGUGAGCAACUUCAGCAAAGUCUCAGGAUACAAAAUCAAUGUGCUAAAAUCACAAGCAUUCCUUUACACCAACAAUAGACAAGCAGGGAGCCAAAUCAUGAAUGAAGUCCCAUUCACAAUUGCUACAAAGAGAAUAAAAUACCUAGGAAUACAGCUAACAAGGGAUGUGAAGGACCUUUUCAAGGAGAACUACAAACUACUGCUCAAGGAAAUAAGAGAGGACACAAACAAAUGGAAAAACAUUCCAUCCUCAUGGAUAGGAAGAAUCAAUAUCAUGAAAAUGGCCAUACUGUCCAACGUAAUUUAUAGAUUCAAUGCUAUCCUCAUCAAGCUACCAUUGACGUUCUUCACAGAAUUAGAAAAAAAACUACUUUAAAUUUCAUAUGGAAUCAAAGAAGACCCUGUAUAGCUAAGACAAGCCUAAGCAAAAAGAACAAAGCUGGAGGCAUCAAGCUACCUGACUUCAAACUAUACUACAGGCUACAGUAACCAAAACAGCAUGGUACUGGUACCAAAACAAACAUAUAGACCAAUGGAACAGAACAGAGACCUCAGAAAUAACACCACACAUCUAAAACCAUCUGAUCUUUGACAAACCUGACAAAAACAAGCGAUCGGGAAAUGAUCUCCUAUUCAUUAAAUGUUUCUGGGAAAACUGUCUAGCCACGUGCAGAAAACUGAAACUGGAUCACCCUUCCUUAUACCUUAUACAAAAAUUAACUUAGGAUGGAUUAAAGACUUAAAUGUAAAGCCCCAAACCAUAAAAACCCUAGAAGAAAACCUAGGCAAUACCAUUCAGGACAUAGGCAUGGGCAAAGACUUCAUAAUGAAAACGCCAAAAGCAAUUGCAGCAAAAGCCAUAAUUGACAAAUGGGAUGUAAUUAAACUAAAGAGCUUCUGCACAGCAAAAGAAGCUAUCAUCAGAGUGAACAGGCAACCUACAGAAUGGGAGAAAAAUUUUGCGAUCUAUCCAUCCAACAAAGGUCUAAUAUCCAGCAUCUAUAAGGAACUUAAACAA
RNAcentral lists this long non-coding RNA (2099 nucleotides) under Homo sapiens (human). RNAcentral describes it as "non-protein coding ROR1-AS1:2". The record is from RNAcentral. Lineage: Eukaryota; Metazoa; Chordata; Mammalia; Primates; Hominidae.